AUGCCAAGCGUGUCACCAUUAUGCCAAAGGACAUUCAGCUCGCUAGGCGUAUCAGGGGCGAGCGUGCUUAAAUUGAUCAAGUGUGGUAGCUCUGUUGGUGAUUUUAGAUCUUUUUGUUAAAGACAGUGAUGGUAUUAAAAUUUAGUAGUAGGGAUGAUGUGCUAUGUUGAUCUUAUUUUGUGUGGUGGAUGGAGGUGUGCUGUAAUUGUUGUUCUGUUUUGGGAGGUGGAGAAGCAUAGUAUUUGUUGAAUCUUUCUAAUGUUUUGUUGUCACACCACUGGUGUUGAACAAGUUUCAGAAUUUGCAUCUAAUGUUUAGUUCAACUGUUUGGUAUUUGCCUCUUAUCUUCCACUUCAUAGUCUUAUUGUUAGC
RNAcentral lists this long non-coding RNA (372 nucleotides) under Nicotiana tabacum (common tobacco). Its description in RNAcentral is "long non-coding RNA (NTAB_LNC001247)". Lineage: Eukaryota; Viridiplantae; Streptophyta; Magnoliopsida; Solanales; Solanaceae. The record is from RNAcentral.